Molecule: ribosomal RNA, 444 nt
Filed under: uncultured bacterium
Lineage: Bacteria
Description: SSU rRNA
Rfam family: Bacterial small subunit ribosomal RNA
Source: RNAcentral
AGAACGAACGCUGGCGGCAGGCUUAACACAUGCAAGUCGAGCGCCUCGCAAGAGGAGCGGCAGACGGGUGAGUAACGCGUGGGAAUCUACCCAGCUCUACGGAAUAACUCAGGGAAACUUGUGCUAAUACCGUAUACGUCCGAUAGGAGAAAGAUUUAUCGGAGUUGGAUGAGCCCGCGUUGGAUUAGCUAGUUGGUGGGGUAAUGGCCUACCAAGGCGACGAUCCAUAGCUGGUCUGAGAGGAUGAUCAGCCACACUGGGACUGAGACACGGCCCAGACUCCUACGGGAGGCAGCAGUGGGGAAUAUUGGACAAUGGGCGCAAGCCUGAUCCAGCCAUGCCGCGUGAGUGAUGAAGGCCCUAGGGUUGUAAAGCUCUUUCAACGGUGAAGAUAAUGACGGUAACCGUAGAAGAACGCCCGGCUAACUUCGUGCCAGCAGCCGC